RNAcentral lists this long non-coding RNA (735 nucleotides) under Chrysemys picta bellii (western painted turtle). RNAcentral's name for it is "lncRNA (ENSCPBG00000012971.1)". Lineage: Eukaryota; Metazoa; Chordata; Testudines; Emydidae. The record is from RNAcentral.
AGGAGCCGCGCGGAGGGAAGGGGAAGUGCUGGCUCUCGCCGCCGCUGCAGAGAUGGAGCCGAGAUACGGGGCAGGCAGGCACCGAGCGGCAGGAGAGGGAGGCUGGCGGCGGCUGGCUGCCGAGCUGAGCCCAGGUUGGACUGGUUGCUGAUGGACGGCUUCUAGCAGCAGCUCCUUCAGACAGCCGGCCGGGGAAGGGAACAGCUCGAUGUAUAUAGCCUGCCUUUAACUCCUUCCCUCACAAGCACGCGUAGGACAAGCAUCUGUCACAACAUCUCUCCGGCAGCCAAUUGGACAAGCGGCGGCGCUUCCAGUCCUGCCACUCAGCUGCUCCCUUGCGGGACUGGAAAGGUUUUGUUGUUUGAACCCUUCGCCACAGCGCGUGGGGAGCACAAAGGCGGAUCUCUAAGUCCUUGUGAUCCAAAACAACACGCAUCCGAAGAGAAGUAUUUUAAAAGCACGAUUACACACACUCUGCAUUUUUGGCCUUAAGGGAAAAAAUGAACCCCCACCCACAGACGUCCCAGCCUCCUCGCCUGGUGCCUGCAGUUACGCUCUGAGUAAAUAGUUCCCACACAUGGUCCACAUUUUGCACAGCAGCAGCGUGUUUCCUCUCGGUCUCUCGUUGCUGUUUUCUGAGCAAGAAAGAGAUUUAGAGGAAGUUAAAAUCAGGCGAGCUGAGAAAGGACUCUCUGUGUUACACACAUCCUGAGUGAAAGCGAAAGCCCAGCAUUU